Molecule: ribosomal RNA, 485 nt
Filed under: uncultured bacterium
Lineage: Bacteria
Description: partial 16S ribosomal RNA
Rfam family: Bacterial small subunit ribosomal RNA
Source: RNAcentral
GAUGAACGCUGGCGGCGUGCUUAACACAUGCAAGUCGAACGGGAUCCAAGGGGUGCUUGCACUUUUUGGUGAGAGUGGCGAACGGGUGAGUAACACGUGAGUAACCUGUCCUUUUCCUUGGGAUAAGCAUUCGAAAGGGUGUUUAAUACCUUAUGUUCUGUCUGCCUCGCAUGGGGUGGGUGGGAAAGGCUUUGGCCGGAUUUGGGUGGGCUCGCGGUCUAUCAGCUUGUUGGUGGGGUGAUGGCUUACCAAGGCUUUGACGGGUAGCCGGCCUGAGAGGGUGGUCGGUCACAUUGGGACUGAGAUACGGCCCAGACUCCUGCGGGAGGCAGCAGUGGGGGAUAUUGCACAAUGGGCGAAAGCCUGAUGCAGCGACGCCGCGUGGGGGAUGAAGGCCUUCGGGUUGUAAACUUCUUUUGCUCUGAACAAGGCAUGCCAGUGGGUGUGUUGAGUGUAGGGGUUGAUUAGCGCCGGCUAACUACGUG